UAUUAAAAUAUAUAAAAUAACAAAAUCUUAAAAUCUUAAAAUAACAUUACAUCGAUGCUAUAUCGAAUUGAACAAAUCUUAUCUCUAUGUUAAGAUGACAGUGGGUAGAUAAUCUUCGAGAGGGGCCAUGGGCUAUUCAUUUAAGGUGCGUUUGACACAUUGUAUUGUAUUAUACUGUACAAUGUUUGGGGCUACACUGUACUGUAUUAAUUUUUUUGUGAUU
RNAcentral lists this long non-coding RNA (223 nucleotides) under Citrus x clementina. RNAcentral describes it as "Citrus clementina (C. clementina) long non-coding RNA (CCLE_LNC001556)". Lineage: Eukaryota; Viridiplantae; Streptophyta; Magnoliopsida; Sapindales; Rutaceae. The record is from RNAcentral.